AAUAUAUAUGUUACAUGUAAAUCAUAAGAGGGUAGUUUAAUAAGGAGAUAGAUGGGAUGGACAGAGAGUCAAUGAUUAGUAGGCUGUGUAGUACUACCCUGAUAUACUGUCCUGAGACAGGCUGUGUAGUACUACCCUGAUAUACUGUCCUGAGACAGGCUGUGUAGUACUACACUGAUAUACUGUCCUGAGACAGGCUGUGUAGUACUACACUGAUAUACUGUCCUGAGACAGGCUGUGUAGUACUACCCUGAUAUACUGUCCUGAGACAGGCUGUGUAGUACUACCCUGUAUACUGUCCUGAGACAGGCUGUGUAGUACUACCCUGAUAUACUGUCCUGAGACAGGCUGUGUAGUACUACCCUGAUAUACUGUCCUGAGACAGGCUGUGUAGUACUACCCUGAUAUACUGUCCUGAGACAGGCUGUGUAGUACUACCCUGAUAUACUGUCCUGAGACAGGCUGUGUAGUAUUACCCUGAUAUACAGUCCAGAGACAGGCUGUGUAGUACUACCCUGAUAUACUGUCCUGAGACAGGCUGUGUAGUACUACCCUGAUAUACUGUCCUGUCCUGAGACAGGCUGUGUAGUAUUACCCUUAUAUACUGUCCAGAGACAGGCUGUGUAGUACUACCCUGAUAUACUGUCCUGAGACAGGCUGUGUAGUACUACCCUGAUGUACUGUCCUGAGACAGGCUGUGUAGUACUACACUGAUAUAAUGUACUGUCCUGAGACAGGCUGUGCAGUACUACCCUGAUAAACUGUAAAGAGACAGGCUGUGUAGUACUACCCUGAUAUACUGUCCUGAAACAGGCUGUGUAGUACUACCCUGAUAUACUGUCCUGAAACAGGCUGUGUAGUACUACCCUGAUAUACUGUCCUGAGACAGGCUGUGUAGUACUACCCUGAUAUACUGUCCUGAGACAGGCUGUGUAGUACUAUCCUGAUAUACUGUCCUGAGACAGGCUGUGUAGUACUACCCUGAUAUAAUGUACUGAGACAGGCUGUGUAGUACUACCCUGAUAUAAUGUACUGUCCUGAGACAGGCUGUGUAGUACUACCCUGAUAACUGUCCUGAGACUGGCUGUAUGUAUUAUGGAUGGAUAGUCUGAUCUAUACAGUAUGUACUCAUGGAUGGAUGAUCUAUACAGUAUGUAGUCAUGGAGGGAUGAUCUAUAC
RNAcentral lists this long non-coding RNA (1179 nucleotides) under Salmo salar (Atlantic salmon). RNAcentral's name for it is "lncRNA (ENSSSAG00000094355.1)". The record is from RNAcentral. Lineage: Eukaryota; Metazoa; Chordata; Actinopteri; Salmoniformes; Salmonidae.